CCGGAGGUAAACGCUGAGAUUGUCCUAAUUCUAACACAUCUCUCCAUAUUUUGACAUUUGGAGGUAAAUUAGGAAUUUGAUCGAACAAUUGCUUAGGAACCGGGAUAUUUAGCAUCUCAAUAUUUAUACGGUUAUUAUUCGUAGCAUUCACAUUAGGAUUAUUUGGAGGAGCAGCAGUUCGCUGAGGUUGCUGUUGCUGAGUAGAAGGUUGGUCUUGUGGAGACAUACUUUGAAGAGACUGGGCACCAACGUUACCUUGAGGGUUUGGAAAAAAAGCAUUUUGCGGAGCUUGCUUUUGUUGUUGUUGUUGUUGUUGUUGUUGUUGUUGUUGUUGUUGUUGUUGUUGUUGUUGUUGUUGUUGUUGUUGUUGUUGUUGUUGCUGCUGUUGUUGCUGCAUAUGCUGCAAUGAACGAAAUUUUUGAAUCUGGUUUUGAUAUAUUGAAAUAAGUCUCGCAGGUGGCAUCGAUUGUAAUUUUUGCAUAGGAAUUGGUGGAUUGCCAUUCCUUGCAAGCAAAGCUGUAAUUUGAUUACAUAAAUUAUUUAACUGUUGUUGGGUCAAUGCAGGAACUAUUCGACCAGGAACACUACCAGAUCUUUGUUGGUUUGCUUCUGUAUUGGGAGCUGUUGGUGAUGAAGCUUGCGGUUGUUGUGUUUGUUGAGGUUGUUGCGACUGCUGCUGUUGCUGCUGCCUUUGUUGCUGGAUUUGAGAUUGUUGAAGUAAAAAUUGCCUUUGUUGUGGGGUCAACUUCAUAUUUCUAGCAAACUGUUGCAUUCCUGCUUGCAUUGGAACAUUUUGGUUUUGAAGUCUCGGCAUUACUCUGGGAUUAUUUGCCAACCUGUUAGGUCCGGCAGUAGGGAGAGCUCCAACAUUACCCGCAUUGUUAUACACAGAAGGCAUUUGUUUCAUUUGGGUUGCCUGCAAUGUGUCACGUAUUUGAUCUCUCAAUUGUGCUGUCUUCUUGCCACAUGUAGUUAAGUAUUCAUUCUAUUACUGGUAAGUACAAAAUUAAUUGAAUUUUUUUUUUCAAUACCUUGCUACUGGCACCAUCAAAAGCCUGACGCUCAAAUGACAAAGCCAUAUUCAUGAGUUGGACUUCGGAAAUUGAGGGAGAGAUAAUUCGUAAAGUUUGAGCACUAAAUACAAAAGUUAGAUGAAGGGUUUUAAAAAAUGAUGGCAUACAUUUGCAAGGCAAUGCUCUGUCUCUCAUUAGGACGAAUUUGUGCUUGCCAUCCCUUAUCAACAUUCCGGUUCAUCCCUCCAAAUAUAUGAUCUAUAAGACGUUAGUGAAUUAUUGUACAUUACUAAAAAGCGUACCAGUUAUUUCUGAUAAUUUUGCAAAUAUAUUUAUUGCAACGCUGAUGGUCGGUGGAAGACGAACUUAAGUUACCGUACACCAUAUAUCAGCGCUGAUCGUCACAAGGUAACCAAUACAGUGGUUUGCUCACAGCUAUCGAUGAUAAGCUAAAUCACGGUCGCUGAUACAUGAGAACACGUUAAAAUUCAUUAUUUAGUAUAAAUCUAAGA
This is a non-coding RNA of Schizosaccharomyces pombe (fission yeast), 1525 nucleotides long. The record is from the annotation of a GenBank genome assembly. NCBI's taxonomy places the organism in Eukaryota, Fungi, Ascomycota, Schizosaccharomycetes, Schizosaccharomycetales, Schizosaccharomycetaceae.